This 408-nucleotide ribosomal RNA is filed under the name uncultured bacterium. RNAcentral describes it as "partial 16S ribosomal RNA". It matches the Rfam family "Bacterial small subunit ribosomal RNA", at positions 28 to 526 of the family's 1533-position model. The record is from RNAcentral.
GACGAACGCUGGCGGCGUGCUUAACACAUGCAAGUCGAACGCAGUGGCGAACGGGUGAGUAACGCGUAAUCAACCUGCCCUUCCGAGGGGGACAACAGUUGGAAACGACUGCUAAUACCGCAUACUGAAGGAGGGGAUUGCGUCUGAUUAGCUCGUUGGCGGGGUAACGGCCCACCAAGGCGAUGAUCAGUAGCCGGGCUGAGAGGAUGAACGGCAAAAUUGGGACUGAGACACGGCCCAGACUCCUACGGGAGGCAGCAGUGGGGAAUCUUCCGCAAUGGACGGAAGUCUGACGGAGCAACGCCGCGUGAGUGAUGACGGCCUUCGGGUUGUAAAGCUCUGUUAAUCGGGACGCGGUACCGGAAUAGAAAGCCACGGCUAACUACGUGCCAGCAGCCGCGGUAAUAC